RNAcentral lists this ribosomal RNA (483 nucleotides) under uncultured bacterium. RNAcentral describes it as "bacterial SSU rRNA". It matches the Rfam family "Bacterial small subunit ribosomal RNA", at positions 16 to 507 of the family's 1533-position model. The record is from RNAcentral.
AUCCUGGCUCAGGAUGAACGCUGGCGGCGUGCCUAAUACAUGCAAGUCGAGCGGUAAGGCUCUCACUCUGUAUUUAAUGAGUUGAAUAUAGUGUGAAAGUACACGAGCGGCGGACGGCUGAGUAACGCGUAGGAACGUACCCCAAAGUGAGGGAUAAGCACCGGAAACGGUGUCUAAUACCGCAUGUGAUCUUCGGAUUAAAGCUUUAUGCGCUUUGGGAGCGGCCUGCGUAAGAUUAGUUUGUUGGUGAGGUAAUGGCUCACCAAGACUACGAUCUUUAGCUGGUCUGAGAGGAUGAUCAGCCAGACUGGGACUGAGACACGGCCCAGACUCCUACGGGAGGCAGCAGUAGGGAAUUUCCACAAUGGACGAAAGUCUGAUGGAGCAACGCCGCGUGCAGGAUGAAGGCCUUCGGGUUGUAAACUGCUUUUAUCUGUGACGAUUAUGACGGUAGCAGAUGAAUAAGGAUCGGCUAACUCCGUG